This is a non-coding RNA of Desulfosporosinus meridiei DSM 13257, 72 nucleotides long. NCBI's taxonomy places the organism in Bacteria, Bacillati, Bacillota, Clostridia, Eubacteriales, Desulfitobacteriaceae. The record is from Rfam.
UUCUUGUAUAAGCUCAAUAAUAUGGUUUGAGCGUCUCGACCAGGCAACCAUAAAUUGCCCAGGCUACAUGAA